This 468-nucleotide ribosomal RNA is filed under the name uncultured bacterium. RNAcentral describes it as "partial 16S ribosomal RNA". It matches the Rfam family "Bacterial small subunit ribosomal RNA", at positions 28 to 507 of the family's 1533-position model. The record is from RNAcentral.
GAUGAACGCUGGCGGCGUGCUUAACACAUGCAAGUCGAACGGAAAGGCCAGUGCUUGCACUGUUACUCGAUUGGCGCACGGGUGAGUAUCACGUGGGUGAUCUGCCCUUCACUUCCUGAUAAGCCUUCGGAACUGGGUCUCAUACCGCAUAUGAUAAUGUUUUGCAUGCCGUUGUGGAAAGUUUUUGCGGUUUGGGAUGAGGUCGCGGCGUAUCAGCUUUUUGUUGGGGUAUUGGCAUAGCAAGGCGUCGACGGGUAGCCGGCCUGAGAGGGUGGACGGACAGACUGGAACGGAGAGAGAGGCCAGACUAGGACGGGAGGCAGCAGGGGCGAAUACUGGACAAUGGGAGGAAGCCUGAUGGAGGAAGGUCGCGGGAGGGAUGACGGCUUUCGGGUGGGAAGAACAUAUGGGUAAGGAAGAAGCGAAUUUGUGACGGUACCUGGAGAAGAAGCAACGGCUAACUACGUG